RNAcentral lists this unclassified non-coding RNA (208 nucleotides) under Hevea brasiliensis (rubber tree). Lineage: Eukaryota; Viridiplantae; Streptophyta; Magnoliopsida; Malpighiales; Euphorbiaceae. The record is from RNAcentral.
AAAGCUUCAAUCUUUUUUCUCUAAUAUUUCUUUUUCUUGAUAGAAUAAUUAGGUUUUUACAUCUAGAAGGAAAAGGAAUCGACCCUUUUGGUUCUUCUUUCUUCUGAGCUCCAAAAAUCAUUUUUUUUCUUGUUUAUUUGGUCCUUUUAACUGUUUUGUUCAUUUUGAAGCUCCUAUAUAGUAAUUUAAGCAGGAAUUUGAGGUGGGG